Molecule: long non-coding RNA, 321 nt
Organism: Monodelphis domestica (gray short-tailed opossum)
Lineage: Eukaryota; Metazoa; Chordata; Mammalia; Didelphimorphia; Didelphidae
Source: RefSeq, a predicted model, not a curated record
GACUCAUUGCAAGGUUAGUCCUUCAGUGUUAAUUUUUUUUCCCAUACUACAGCCAUUCCUGAAGCAGAUUGGAGGACUAAGUCAAAUUGAAAGAAAGUUAGAAGAGAUAUGAAACAUAGCAUGUGGAAAAAUCCAGCAGUUAAGAGUCAACUUUUCACUCACCAUGUGUCAGUCCAAAGGAAGAAAUUUUAGAACAGUUUCACCAGGAAAAAGGUUUCCGGUCCAGUCAGCAGAUUCUCUACCAGCCUCCACUCCAAAGAAUGAAGAACUCUCUCUUAUAGGAACUUGUAAUUCCUUUUAAAGAUGCUUUCUUUUGCAUCA